GUUAGAUUCUGGAUAUAUUUUAAAGCUAGAGCCAACAGGACUUUCUGAAGAAUUCAAAACCAUGGCGGCGGGGAGGGAGAAGUGAAAGAAAGAGAGGAGCCAAGGAAGAUUCCAAGAUUCGUUGGCCUAAGGCGGUGGACAGACGGGGUUGCCAUUUACCGAGCAGGGUCCAAUUAAGAUGCCUGAAAGGAAAAUAACAUACCUGGGGCCAUCAUACCUAGCGAGAAACGCUGCGGAUGCACCCAGGAGGAAAAAUAGAGACUUCGCUGGAAGCCGUAGAGUUCCUCCUGCAAAACACUGCUCUGGUAUCGAUAGACUUACAAAUGUGUGUCAAAUGAUCUCACUAGAGGAAAUGCUCAGACAUUCAAAUUUGACGUCAAGCUGUCGAGGAACCCUUUGUGUUUGGCAUAGGUGCUGAGGCUGCAAAAGUUCUCCACAGAAGGCUCUGAUAGUGGCUGUUUUCCCUCAUUUGACUGAGCCUGUUUAAAUUCAGGACUAUACUUAGACAACUGUGUUUCCUAAUGGUAUUAGGUGUCAGAGUUCUAUAUUUUAAAAUUUAUUUAGUGUAAGAGGUGAUUUUUUUUAACUUCUAUAUGAGUCACACAGCUUUCGUCAGGAGUGGGGGAGCCACUCUUUCCAAAUGCAUCUCUGAGGAUAAUUUAUUCAAAGAAUGUCUCUUGACAUGUGAUUCCAGGUUUUUGGUGUUUGCUGUUUUCAAAUCACUUUUACUCAGCAAACACUUAGUAAAUUGUUGACUGUGCGAAGCUCAGUGUGAGGUGCUGUUUACAGGAUGUUAAUGACCUGGAAGUAAUUCACCUUGACAGAGGCCAACACCCUUUGAUUAUAAAAACUCUCAGAAAACUAGGACUAUAAGGGAACUCCUUCAACAUGAUAAAAGACAUUUAUAAAACAAUUAACCAAAAAGAGUCACAGCUAACAUUAUACUUAAUGCUAAAAGACUGAAAGCUUUCCCCAUAAAAUCAGGAAGAGGACAAGGAUCCCCACUUUUACCACUACUAUUCAACAUUGUUUUGGGAGUUCUAGCCAGAGCAAUUAGACAAGAAAAAUAAAAGGAUCCAAUUUGGAAAGGAAGAAAUAACCCUAUCUCUAUUCACAGAUGACAUGGUCCUCUAUAUCGAAAAUCCUAAAGAAUCCACAAGAAUACUGCUAGAGCUAAUAAGCAAAUUAGCAAAAGUGCAGGUGCUCCAUUUUUUGGUCAUAGUUUAGUACUUUAGUGUCCUUACUGAUUAAAUCUAAUGGCUUGUCCUCAGAGCAAGAUUUAAUGUUUUAAAAUGUGAAUAUGGAAGGUCUCUUAUUGUGUGAUCAGAAAUAAUUUCAUUUACUGCCCCCAUAUUCAGCUUCAUGUGUGAAAUUCUCAUGAUAUUAUUUUGGCAGUGGGUCAAAUUUUGGUUAAAUUCCAAACACUUAUAAAACUAGUAACACAUCAAGUUUCAUUAUGUCUGGGAAACAAUUCAUUUAUUAGGUGAUCUCCUGAGAGCAGAUGAUACUGCGUAAAAAAACUAGAGGGAGAAGAGUGAGGAUUGCCUGCAAAGUGGAGUCUGGUGGGAAGGACAGAGAGAUGACAGGGGCUUUAAAGGAAGGUGAAGAAAGAUGGGGCAGAGGAACAAAGUAAAAGAUACUGUAGACCUUGCCUAUUCGUUAUAAUAGCCGUGAGCGGCAUCUGACUAUUCAGAUUUAACUACAAUGAAAAAUUAAAUUCCUUAGUUGCAUUAGCCACAUUCCAAGUGUUUGGUUACUACAGGUGGCUGGGGACUACCAUAUUGGACAGCGUGGCUAUGGAACAUUUUUAUCCUUGCAGAGAAUCUGUGGGACAGGGCUGCUUUGUCCUAUUUCACUCAACAAUACAUAGUGAAUACAUUCUCUUGUCAAAACGAUCUCAAAUUCAGUGUUUAGUGAUUGAAUAGCAUUUGAUAUAUUAAUAGACCGUGAUUUUUAAAAAUCAAUCAUUACAAAAAUAGCUUUUUUGUAGCUUUUUAUCAUAAAUAGACCUAUGAUUUAAAAAAACCUUGUAGCAGAAUUUUUGUGCUCAUCUUAAC
Equus asinus (donkey) is the source of this 2057-nucleotide long non-coding RNA. NCBI's taxonomy places the organism in Eukaryota, Metazoa, Chordata, Mammalia, Perissodactyla, Equidae. The record is from Ensembl.